GAUGAACGCUGGCGGCGUGCUUAACACAUGCAAGUCGAACGUGAGAGGUAGCAAUAUCUUGAAAGUGGCGCACGGGUGAGUAACACGUAGGUAACCUGCCUCGGAGUGGGGGAUAACAGUUAGAAAUGACUGCUAAUACCGCAUGAAUCCAUUAAGAUGGGAAUGUUGAUGGAGAAAAACUCUGGUGCUUCGAGAGGGGCCUGCGGUCGAUUAGCUAGUUGGCGGGUAACGGCCCACCAAGGCGACGAUCGAUAGCUGGUCUGAGAGGACGAUCAGCCACACGGGAACUGAGACACGGUCCCGACUCCUACGGGGGGCAGCAGUGAGGAAUAUUGGGCAAUGGGCGAAGCCUGACCCAGCAACGCCGCGUGGAGGAAUGAAGGCCUUCGGGUUGUAAACUCCUUUUUGCAGGGGGAAGAGGAAGGACGGUACCCUGCGAAUAAGUCACGGCUAACUACGUGCCAGCAGCCGCGGU
Molecule: ribosomal RNA, 475 nt
Filed under: uncultured bacterium
Lineage: Bacteria
Description: bacterial SSU rRNA
Rfam family: Bacterial small subunit ribosomal RNA
Source: RNAcentral